UACGUAGGCAGCGAGCGUUGUUCGGAAUUACUGGGCGUAAAGAGUGUGUAGGCGGUGUUCCAAGUUCGGUGUGAAAUCUCCCGGCUUAACUGGGAGGGUGCGCCGAAAACUGGAAUGCUCGAGCGUGGGAGAGGAAAGCGGAAUUCCUGGUGUAGCGGUGAAAUGCGUAGAUAUCAGGAGGAACACCAGCGGUGUAGACGGCUUUCUGGACCAUUGCUGACGCUGAGACACGAAAGCGUGGGUAGCAAACAGGAUUAGAUACCCUGGUAGUCCACGCCCUAAACGAUGCAUACUUGGUGUCGGCCAUUCAGUUGGUCGGUGCCGGAGCUAACGCGUUAAGUAUGCCGCCUGGGGAGUACGGUCGCAAGGCUGAA
RNAcentral lists this ribosomal RNA (374 nucleotides) under uncultured bacterium. Its description in RNAcentral is "bacterial SSU rRNA". It matches the Rfam family "Bacterial small subunit ribosomal RNA", at positions 524 to 898 of the family's 1533-position model. The record is from RNAcentral.